AACAACAAAGUAGUCGCCUAGAUUAUGAUGGGCGCUUGGGUUUGUAUGUUGCUGACCCAACGCGUGGACUUCCAUGUAACAUCUGACCACUUCAUAUUAUCAGUCAUAACACUAUCUCAAAGUUCCCAUCUCUCUGAACACCUCCAUGAAAUCUUUGCUUCCUCUAGCUGCUAUUGUUUGUCUACGCUGGUUUUCAUCCUGUGCUUAGAGGUCUACAGUAUUUCAGUAUGACAGAUAUGUCACUUUCUAUCUCUAUCUGUUCAUCUUCUUUGUUUUUCUUUGUCUGCCUUCUGAUUUGUAUCUUUCAGAGAAGAAUGAAAUAGGUAAUUUCAAAGGUCAGAAUUGAAUUUGCUCUACUUUUGUCUCUCUUCGCUCAGAAUUCCAUAACCUUUUUCUUCGCUGUAAGAAAGAAUUGGAGUUUGACUUGGAUUUUUGUACUUCGUUAGUUGCUAAAUUGUAAAUCACAUGGUUCACGGUCACCGCUGAUCUUCGCUAAGAAUUCCUUGGGUUUCUGCUUCUUCAUUGUAACACAAAAUUGGGGUUUUGCUUGGGUUUUUGCAGUUCAGUGGUUGCUCAAUUGACAUACUUUUUUCAUUAUAUGUAAAUGUGAUUGUUUUAUUUUUGGGUUCUUGUCUAUUUGUUGCUCGAAAUUAAAUUGUAAUUUUAUGUUAAUUUUGUGAAAUUCAAAAAUACCUUGAAAGAAAUUGGAAUUUCCUUCUACUAUCUAACUAUUCUCCAUGUUUGUUUAUGUUUGAAGGUUUUUUGUAUUUUGACCAAGAGUUAUAAAUUGGGGAUUUAGAGUGGAUGAAGGUUACUUUGUUGGAUUUAAGCUACAAUUUUAGUCUGCUACUGAUGUAUUUUAUUUUGCUGAUUUAUUCCAUUUUGUUAUUCUGAGUUUACAUGAAAAAAGUGAGCUGGUUCUUAAUUGUUUGAAAGAUUUGUACAUGACUUCUUACUUUCGAGCUCAGUGAUUAGUAGCUUAUAUAUACAAAUUCGAUAGAACUUGUUUGGUGUUUUUGGAUUUGUAUGGUGCAUUAAAUGCAUACUUGUAACUUUUAAUAUUCUUUCGUAACGAUUCAAUAUUCUCUCCCCUACCCACUGUUUUUCUGCAAAGGUCGGCCUUAUAUUUUGCCUUGUAGCUACAACAAAAAAGUUAGCAGCGACAGUAUUUAUGAUUUCAUGAUUAUUGUGUAUAUUACUUUCUUUUACCUAUUAUCUGAUUCCUAUACUAAUACAAUACUUAACAUAUACUUCAUAGGCCUUUUUUACGCACUACCAGAUAUAGGAACUAGGUAUAUCUGUGCAAGCCUUUGUAUUGUAAUGUUAAAUUCAACUUCUCAACUACCCUACUUUGCAGUAUUUUUCCUUGUAAAUAUUGUGCUCUUUACACUGAGAAACUGUAUUUAUCGAAAUGAAACAUGCUCUAAUCCAAAGUGUUGGAUUCUUUGUUUGUUUGAUUUUGUUUCCCGUACUAAUCCCAGAGAAAGGGCUUCCGAAGAUGGGGCAGAACAAGCUGCUUUUUUGUGCUUCCAUAUCUUUCUCUGCUGAAGAAUUGUGGUGUCUCACUAUGGCAGAAGGAAAAGUAGACAAAGAUUCAACUGGAGAAGUUUUGGACAAGGUUCAACUUCGAGAUGAUUUAACUGGAAAAGUUAUCAAAGAUAUAUAAUGACCAUGACCGAACUGCUGCAAUUAAGUUACUUUUAGUAGGGUGAUUUUCCUGAUUUAAUAGGGGUUCCUUUAUUUGGAUUCUGUCAGUUGUAUUUCUCUAAGUUCUUUGUGGCAUGACCAAAAGGUACUAUUUCUUCAUAUGAUUUAUGAAGUUACUUCUUGUAUAUCUUGUUUGUGGUUGUUUUUAUGCAGUAUUUUGAUUUUCAAUGAUAAAAGGUAUGUGCUGCUUAUGCUGUUUUCAAAGUGUAGUCUACACCUGGAGCUCCAUAAUCCAACAUAUUAUGCUAGAACUUUCUGUAUGUUGGAGUUCCAACAUAAUAUGCUGGAAGAACUUUCUGUGUUUCAACAAAACAAUGGUUAUUUUUCAAUGAGGGUUUGCAAACACUGGCUAUUUUUUGAACCUGUCCGAAAACUGACUAGUUAGUGCGAUUUUCAAUUUUGGAGUCGUAACCGAGGAAGUACACAAAUGGCCAUUCUUAGGGCUACUAUUUAGGGAUUCAUCAGUACUUAUUUUAUCCUGAAAAUUUGAACUAAAAAUAAUAAUGUAGGCAUGUAAAAUUUAUUGAAUUUAAAUUCAAUAAAUAAUUUAGACUA
This is a non-coding RNA of Nicotiana tabacum (common tobacco), 2262 nucleotides long. The record is from RefSeq and is a predicted model, not a curated record. Lineage: Eukaryota; Viridiplantae; Streptophyta; Magnoliopsida; Solanales; Solanaceae.